RNA transcript from Cornus florida, 3921 nucleotides. It is a transcript of the gene named pentatricopeptide repeat-containing protein At3g14730-like, with no coding region annotated. NCBI's taxonomy places the organism in Eukaryota, Viridiplantae, Streptophyta, Magnoliopsida, Cornales, Cornaceae. The record is from RefSeq and is a predicted model, not a curated record. The transcript has 3 exons.
UCACUUCACGUUAAAUGAUCAAAAAAGCCAUCUUUACAAGAACACCAAUCAAUACCCAUUUCCAUAUACUUCUCAAAUUCUCAUCCACAUCUUCCACAGCUCAAGCUUCAUCAUGUCUCGCCGACCUCAGGACCUGCAUUGCAUCACUGCAAGCAUGUGCCCACCACAGGAACCUCACAACAGGUAAGAAACUCCACUCCUACUUGUUCAUCAAUGGCUUCCACAGCUCCCCAUUUUCCAUCACGAGCCUAAUCAACAUGUAUUCCAAGUGUAAUCGCAUUGCCGAAGCCUUAUUAGUAUUUGAUUCAUCGACCCAUGAUCACAACGUAUUCGCUUAUAAUGCAAUCAUUGCUGGGUUCAUCGCCAAUGAGUUACCAAAACCCGCAAUUGAGUUUUAUUGUAGAUUGCGGUGCACUGGUGCUGUGCCGGAUAAAUUUACAUUUCCCUGUGUAGUUAGAGCUUGUUCGGAUGUUUUGGAUGUUUUAGGGGUUAGGAAGAUUCAUGGGUUGUUGUUUAAACUUGGGUUGGAUUUUGAUUUAUUUAUAGGAAGUGCUUUGGUUCAUGCGUAUUUGAAAUUUGGGUUCAUGGAAGAGGCAGUAGAGGUGUUUGAAGAAUUACCCGUUAGAGAUGUAGUUCUUUGGAAUGCAAUGAUUAAUGGGUAUGCACAGAUGGGGCAGUUUGAUAUGGCAUUGGAGGUUUUUAGGAGGAUGGGUGAAGAAAGAAUUGUUCCAAGUAGAUUCACAGUUACUGGGGUCUUGUCCGUUUUUGCCAUGAUGGAGGACCUAAAUAAUGGGAAGGCAGUUCAUGGGUUGGUAGUGAAAAGAGGGUAUCAUUCAGGCAUUGCAGUUUCAAAUGCCUUGAUUGAUAUGUAUGGAAAAUGCAAAUUUGUUGAAGAUGCAUUGGGGAUUUUCGACACGAUGGUUGAGAAGGAUAUAUUUUCAUGGAACUCUAUUAUAUGUGUUCAUGAACAGUUUGGUGAUCAUGAUGGAACCCUAAAACUUUUUGUAAGGAUGUUAAGGUCUGGAUUUCAGCCUGAUUUGGUCACAGUCACAACCAUCCUUCCAGCUUGCUCUCAUUUGGCGACAUUGAUGCAAGGUAAAGAAAUACAUGGGUACAUGAUUAUUAAUGGGUUGGGCAAGGAUGGUGAUGAUGUAUAUGUGAAUAAUGCUGUUUUGGACAUGUAUGCAAAAUGUGGGAGUAUGAGGGAAGCUCACUUGGUUUUUGAUAGGAUGGGCUAUAAAGAUGCAGCAUCAUGGAACAUCAUGAUUAUGGGUUAUGGCAUGCACGGGUUUGGCAUUGAAGCAUUAGAUAUGUUUUGUCGCAUGAUUGAAGUGGAAUUGAAGCCCGAUGAGGUCACAUUUGUGGGGGUUUUGUCAGCCUGCAACCAUGCAGGUUUUGUGAGCCAAGGGCGUGACUUCCUGGCACAAAUGCCAUUGAAAUAUGGUGUUGUUCCAACUAUUGAACACUAUACUUGCGUGAUUGACAUGCUAGGUCGAGCUGGACUGGUGGAGGAGGCGUAUGAGUUGGUAUCGACAAUGCCAAUUGAUGCAAACCCAGUAGUAUGGAGGGCUGUAUUAGCAGCAUGUCGACUCCAUAGAAAUGAAUCCCUGGCCAAAGUUGCUGCAGAGAGGCUGUUUGAGCUUGAACCAGAGCACUGUGGAAGUUUUGUAUUGAUGUCAAAUGUUUAUGGAGCAGGUGGUAAAUAUGAAGAGGUAUCGGAGGUGAGACAUAUAAUGAGGCAACGAAAUGUGAGGAAGACACCAGGUUGUAGCUGGAUUGAACUCAGUAAUGGUGUGCAUGUUUUUGUUACUGGGGUCAUGCGCUGCAAAAAAAAAGAGGCUUAUGUCAACACGUUACAUUGAUGCUGCCGCUGAUGAUACCAGGCUUAAGAAUGUGCACUUGUCUGAGAAAUCUUUGGUUGAUAACAACGUAAAUUGCAUCAACAAGUUAUCUGUUCUUGAGCUUCUGCCAUUUCAAGGAUUUUGAACUCUAUUUGCUACACAGCCAAUGCUUGAAGAAGGUACCAUUAAUAUGCUACUCUGGCAGGUGGUGAGAUAUUUUUUACAUGAUGGUAAAAUGUGCCAUUAGCAUGAGUCAAGUCACUGAUUUAAAGCCCUAGUACUGUUGCUUCAUUCACCAAUGGUUAGAAAAAACAAAUACCUGACCAGGUUGCAUCACAAUCUUUCAGUCUGCAUCAUCCAAAGUCAUUCAAUUUUCUUCUCUUUUGGCUCAUCAGCAUUUCCAUGGGCAGGUGAGACAUACAUAUUAAUGUCAUUAUUGCUCCUAACCAUUGAAUUUUAUGUGGGAUAUGGACAUCAAGGAGCCCCUAGCUUAUAGGCAUGCCAAAAUUGGUGGGUCCCACAAGGUCCUCUAGCAUCAUUUUAGUCAUAUUGUACACAGUUGAUAUGAAUAUGUUAUCUUUUCAUUUUUCUAAAGAGUUUGUUGUUUGGAUGGAAAAUGUUUGCAAGCAUGCAGACUUUGAUGACUAGAAUAUUUAUGAGUUGAUAGCAAGGAGGUGGGAGGUGACAUGUAAUAACUGUUAAGGCAUGGUUAGUUUAGGGUGCAGCAACACAAUGUGCUCUUGUCAUUUUUCAUGAUCAUAUAAUAGUAAACAGAUUAAUUUUUUUAUUUUUUAUUUAGAAAAAAAAAGAAAAAAAGAAAAGAAAAGAAAGGUUUUGUUUCUAAUAAUACAUCUACCAGGUGAUUGUUAUGAACAUUCAUGUCAAUCAUUAGAUUGCAACUCUUUUUCUUUUGAAUUGUGGAGAAGUUAUACAUGGAAGAGAUUUUCCUAUCCUUUUUUAAGUUCAAUACCUUUGAGGUUAAUUUAUCAGUAAAUGGAGAGUGUUAUCGAAAGCUACCAGGAUAUCUUGGCAUAUUUAGGAUUUUCACUUUCAGUAGAAAGGGAAAAUCAUGAAGAGGAUAACCCAAUUCUGGCUGCGAUUCACAGAACAAAAGGGAAUGCUGUGAUCAUUCUUGCAAUACUGCAUCGAAAAUAGGGACUAUGACAUUCCACAUUGCCUUGGGGGAGAUUGUUGGCACUUAUAUGUGUGGAUGUCUCUUAAUUGUGUAGACGCAUUUUGAAAACCAUGAGCACGAAGAAUGCGUAAAGCAGACAAUAUCUGUAUAGCGAAGCGGAGCGUGACAAAUGGUAUCAGAGUCAAUCCCUGGCUGAAAAGGGGGAGCGUGAACAAGCCCAGUCAAACCAACGAGGAUGUGGGUCCCAAGAAGGGGUGAUUGUGACGUCCUACAUCGCUUGGAGGGAGGUUGGCUGCCGGAUAAUAUCUACAUAACUUGCCGGGUUGUGACACUAUUCGGAUAUUGACAUUCUUGCUUUGAUGAAACUUAUUGAGAAGCACUAAGCACAUUUUGAGCUUGGUUGCUUAGAAGAGGAGUGUAGAAUCUAUAGUUUUAAGCAAUAGAGUUUGAGUCGUCAUCUUUAUGCAGUCUUACAUUUGUGUUUCAUGGAAAUGAUACCAUUAGAAGCAUUAAGGUUACAUCUAAUCACAGACACUGCGACUAUGACAAUUAUUGUUACUUCAUGACUUCAGAUUUUGUUGACAUAAAAGUGGAAAAUGCCCUUUUAGAGAACUUCCUCAAAGUAGUGAAUUCAACACUUACAUCUAGAUAAGGUUGUGAUGGACAAGCAGUUUCUAAAAAUAGGGUAUUGGCAUGAGGUAUGUAAAAUAAGACAAAUUGUUUAUGGUGGUUAAUACAAGGAGGUCAAAAUGGUUGAUCAAAUACCCCUUUAAAUAGUGUCGGCAUGAAUGUCCUUUUCUAGACUAGUUCUAGGAGUUUAAUGAUGUCCUGUACCAUUUUGGACAAGAACGAUAAUAUGGACCCUCGGUAGGACACCACCUGACAGGCACCGUGAUUAAAUUCAUUGUUUCUUUUUCUUUUCUUUUUUUUUCUUUUUUUUUUUUU